UGACCAAUUUCUCGUAAUUUGCAGGUUCCUGGCAGUGCUUGCUGCGGUCCAGUAUGCGGUGGCUGUCACGGAACCUUCCCUAGAUGAGAUUAUUAACGAGAUCUUCGGGAUAUCAGAAGACGAAGAUGACAGCCAAGUGGGGCUCCCGGGCUGCAACGACCUUGAGGGCUCCGGCCGCGGCUGCCAGGAGUGCUAUCUCUGUAACCACACCCUCAUACAGGACAGCAGGAUUAAAGGAGGGCACGUGGAACUACAAUUAAAAGAUUCAUCAUGCGCCACCACCCAGAUAUGCUGCGUCCAACAACAAGACCUCGUUAAUUACAGGCU
Cydia strobilella is the source of this 327-nucleotide long non-coding RNA. RefSeq lists it as uncharacterized. The transcript is spliced from 3 exons. The record is from RefSeq and is a predicted model, not a curated record. Lineage: Eukaryota; Metazoa; Arthropoda; Insecta; Lepidoptera; Tortricidae.